Long non-coding RNA from Monodelphis domestica (gray short-tailed opossum), 861 nucleotides. RefSeq lists it as uncharacterized. NCBI's taxonomy places the organism in Eukaryota, Metazoa, Chordata, Mammalia, Didelphimorphia, Didelphidae. The record is from RefSeq and is a predicted model, not a curated record.
AGGCCGGUCUCUUACCCCAGAUUCCCAGAAAACAGCGGAGGCCGCCGCCGCCCCGCCCGGGGGAGGGGAGGUCUCAGCCAAAUUCAACCAAGGGCCGGCUGGAGAGGGGCAAGAGAGGCGCCGUAAAAGAUGUGCUGUGGCUUCUCCAAGGCCCCACAGACUGCUGGGAUCACCGGCCCCCACUUCCCCAUCCACAAAAUGAACUUUUCAAAACUCCAAAGAGGUGAGUGGGGGGGAGGGAGUGGAGGCAGCCGCAGGCCCAGGGAGGCUGGGGCUCAAAUAGACCGGCGUUCCCCCACCUCUUUCCUUGGGCUGGGGAAACCCCCUGAAAGGAAAGAGGGGCUCCGAUUUCCCUAGGAGUGAACCCAGACUAACCUCCACUGCUCUGGGGACUGGGGGAAGAGCCAGGGAGGCUGAUAAAGUCCUAAUGAAGUGGGAGGAAGAAGUCCAGAAAGGAAAAUGUCCUUUUUCUCCUUUCCCCAAGCAAAUCUGAGGCGUUGCCCCAGGACUAAUGGGCCUCUUUCUGCUUCUCAGUCCCAUUCGUUCCUGUUCUCUAGUCAAGCCCUACCUCCAGUGGAGGCACACUGACUUCUCCUUGGCCCCGGGAGGUAGAGGGACCUUUCAGAGAUCCUUAACCUGGAGUUUGGGACCUUAAAAAAACCAAACAUUUCCCCACUCCUCUGGUUUCCACGGUAUUCCUCUGUGUGUCCACUUCAACAAUCCUGAGGACUCCAGAGGCUUCUCUUCUAGGCCCUCCAAUUGUUUCAUGGGCAGGGGAGUCUCAGGAGGGAGGGGCAGAAUUUGGAACUCAAAAAAACGUGCGAAGUGAACGUUAAAAUAAAUUUUAAAUUCUAAAGCAAA